UACGGAGGGUGCGAGCGUUGUCCGGAAUCACUGGGCGUAAAGGGCGCGUAGGCGGCGCGGAAAGUCGUCGGUGAAAGCUCGGGGCUCAACCCUGAGUCUGCCGGUGAUACUCCCGCGCUCGAGCGCACUAGAGGCAGAUGGAAUUCCGGGUGUAGCGGUGGAAUGCGUAGAGAUCCGGAAGAACACCGGUGGCGAAGGCGGUCUGCUGGGGUGAGGCUGACGCUGAUGCGCGACAGCGUGGGGAGCAAACAGG
This 253-nucleotide ribosomal RNA is filed under the name uncultured bacterium. Its description in RNAcentral is "partial 16S ribosomal RNA". It matches the Rfam family "Bacterial small subunit ribosomal RNA", at positions 524 to 776 of the family's 1533-position model. The record is from RNAcentral.